UACGUAGGGUGCAAGCGUUAAUCGGAAUUACUGGGCGUAAAGCGUGCGCAGGCGGCUAUGCAAGUCAGAUGUGAAAUCCCCGGGCUCAACCUGGGAACUGCAUUUGAGACUGCAUGGCUAGAGUACGGCAGAGGGGGAUGGAAUUCCGCGUGUAGCAGUGAAAUGCGUAGAUAUGCGGAGGAACACCGAUGGCGAAGGCAGUCCCCUGGGCCUGUACUGACGCUCAUGCACGAAAGCGUGGGGAGCAAACAGG
Molecule: ribosomal RNA, 253 nt
Filed under: uncultured bacterium
Lineage: Bacteria
Description: partial 16S ribosomal RNA
Rfam family: Bacterial small subunit ribosomal RNA
Source: RNAcentral